Molecule: long non-coding RNA, 323 nt
Filed under: Phoenix dactylifera (date palm)
Lineage: Eukaryota; Viridiplantae; Streptophyta; Magnoliopsida; Arecales; Arecaceae
Description: long non-coding RNA (PDAC_LNC018283)
Source: RNAcentral
GCCCCGUGUUUCCCUCUCAUGUGGGCCCGAUAGUCACGUGCCCUGCGCAGGCGGACCGUGACAUUUAUGAACGUGCCUGGCCAAAGCAUACAUUGUUUUACAACGGAUUUCUUGAAUAUAUCCUUAUGAAAUGUUGUAUUUUGCUAAAACCGCUAUCUCCUUUAAAUGAUGCUAAUCGCAUGAAUUCUUAUGUUUUAUGAAAAUUUUGUUUGAUUAAAAAUACUGCUUUGUUUUCCAAGCAUACAUAUUUUGCCAUGAUAAAUUGUGAGAUAAUACGCAUGUCAGCUUCUCAAACCCUGCAUAAACAUGGUUACCAUUAUGUC